GAACGAACGCUGGCGGCGUGCCUAACACAUGCAAGUCAAACGGUUUUGUAGCAAUACAGAGCAGUGGCGCACGGGUGAGUAAUGCAUGGGAAUUUCCCAAGUGGAGAGGGAUACCUACGGGAAACUGUAGUUAAUACUUCGUAAGCAGAGUGUGUUAAAGCAUUCUGGAAAGGUAGGGAUCGUAAGACCUACCGCCAUUUGAUAAGCUCAUGUCCCAUUAGCUAGUUGGUGAGGUAACGGCCCACCAAGGCGAUGAUGGGUAGCUGGUCUGAGAGGACGAUCAGCCACACUGGAACUGAGACACGGUCCAGACUCCUACGGGAGGCAGCAGUGGGGAAUAUUGCGCAAUGGGGGAAACCCUGACGCAGCAACGCCGCGUGAGUGAAGAAGGCCUUCGGGUUGUAAAGCUCUUUCGGCUGGGAAGAAGGGUGUAAAGGUGAAUAAUCUUUGCAUUUGAUGGUACCAGAAGAAGAAGCACCGGCAAACUUCGUGCCAGCAGCCGCGGUAAUACGAAGGGUGCGAGCGUUGUUCGGAAUUAUUGGGCGUAAAGGGUUCGUAGGCGGGAUUGUAAGUCAAGUGUGAAAUCCCCGAGCUUAACUCGGGACGUGCAUUUGAAACUGCGAUUCUUGAGUCAUUGAGAGGGUGGUGGAAUUGUUGGUGUAGGAGUGACAUCCGUAGAGAUCAACAGGAACAUCAGAGGCGUAAGCGGCCACCUGGCAAUGUACUGACGCUGAGGAACGAAAGCGUGGGGAGCAAACAGGAUUAGAUACCCUGGUAGUCCACGCCAUAAACGAUGAUAACUAGGUGUUGGGGGAGUUGACCCCCUCAGUACCGUAGCUCACGCGUUAAGUUAUCCGCCUGGGGAGUACGACCGCAAGGUUAA
Molecule: ribosomal RNA, 883 nt
Filed under: uncultured bacterium
Lineage: Bacteria
Description: bacterial SSU rRNA
Rfam family: Bacterial small subunit ribosomal RNA
Source: RNAcentral